UAAAAGUACCUUGCCGGCUGGCUUAUUGCCGGACAAAAGUACCUUGCCGACUCGGCUAAAAUUACCUUGCCGACUGGCUUAUUGCCAGCUAAAGUUAUCUGAUUUACUCCAAGGAUAAGUCAUACCAAUGCCAUUUGAUUUAUGGCUGACUUGCUUUCUCCAUAUCCCAAUAAACUAUAGAUUAUUUACUAGCAGGUGAUUAUUUUUUACCUGAUUUGCUACCGUCCAACUUACUUACCAGCUUAAAUUAAAGUCCUGAUUUGCUACCGUCCAACUUACUUACCGGCCUAGUUUGACGAGUUACACUUAUUGUCGAUCUGAUUUAAAAAGUCAUACCCCAUAACAUGUAAUUCACAGUCGGCUUACCGUCUGUACUUUCUGCACGGUUCUCGUUCUCGUUAUGAUGUUUGUGUGUAUUUCGUUGUGACAUAAGUAGUUUUAACUAUAAUUUUAUUACUCCAUAGCCAACCUGCCAUAAGCUAAUUAAUUGCCCUUUGCUAGGCGGCAUUUAUAAGUGCUUAAUAAGUUUAUGAUUUUACGGCACCGCUGCAUUAGAGGUGAAGGUUUGGGAGACCGUAAUCAGGUUCUUAAUAUGACCAAGUUAAAUUGUGCAGGUUAUGUGUUUGUUAAAUUAAAGGUUAAAUAAGCCCACCCCAAGUUUACCUGGGAUGAUGAGAUUAGUUCUGCCGGCAUGUACCCUCCCGGUAAUAGUCGCCAUAAUUUGCCUACUGACAAGAGUUACAGUAGUAGUACAAAUAUAAUCUACAGUCACUUGUGAGAAUACAAUUAUGGUUUUGGGUCUUCUACCUGCUGACUGCCGAAGGUUAAAACCUUAGGUGGAACCGAUUUAUCUCAAUUUCUAUUACGAAAAGUUUUACAUUGGGUGGCAACUCAUAUAAUCUUACCGGUCUAAUUUUGCCGGUGUGUUACCAGGGUAGUCUGAAACUACCUGGUUUAUGUGAAGUGAUGUUAGAAUAAUAGUUUGAGCAAGAAAUUAUUAUCAAGUGAUUAAUUAUUACCUGAUUUACUACCGGCAUGAUUUGAAAGUCCAUAACCCAUAGUCUGAUAGUCACAUACCCUCUAAAUUGUUGUCAGCCCUGUGUGUAAAAUAGUUGUUAUGAUGAUGUGUGUACAUGAAUUGCCACAAGUACUCCUUAACGUUCGUUUGCCAGCAAGUACAAAGAGUAAUAAGAUUUAGAACCUUAUACCGUUUGAAAAUGCUGGCAACUAGUUUAUUGUCAGUCAUUGUGGUUUGCACUUUGCAGUCGUACUAUUUCUCUGUCACAUAAAAAUUACAAGGUGGAUGAAUUCCCUCACUCUCCCUUGUCAGCUUACGCAUGUAAUAAUCCUAUGUUUUUAAAUAGGUUACCAUCUAGCCAUAAUGGACAAUACAAUUGUGUUAGUGUUACUUCUAACCCAUUACCUAUAGAUUUGGGUCCAAAUCUUCGCCAUUUACAAAUGGGUAAAGUUUUAUGUGAAACCGAGUUUCUACUCUCUGUCGGGUCAAACUUAGAAAGUUACUACCAGUUUAAUUUGCACAUGGUCUAAAUUCUUACCAUCAUAAUCUUACCGUAAGGUACAUGCCUUAUACUUUGCUGUCAGCUUUGAUAUUUUCAGCAAACUACUGUGCUACCUGCUUUUGUUUCCAGUCGCACUAAAUUGUUGUCAGCCUAAAGUGGUACUCCCUCUGUCCCUUAAUACUCGACCUGUUUUGACUUUUCGCACUAUUCACAUAAUUCACUUUGACCCUAUUUUAUUUCUAGUAUAUAAAAACAAAUGUUAGUAUAUAAUAUAUUGUUGGUUUCAUCUUAAUAUGUAUUUUCAAAAUAUAAUAUGUUUAUAAGUUUUUAUAAUAUGUAGUUAAAGAAAUUGGUGGUCAAAGUUGUGCAUUGGCAAACGUGUCCGAUCAAAACAGGUCGAGUAUUAAGGGACGGAGGAAGUAAAUUAUAAUCAGCAAAGAGUAGUAAUCUCACCCCAUACUCCUUUAUGUUUUAUUUGUUGCCAAAUGCGAUGCUUCUUAAUUCGCUGCCAGUCAUAUGCAAUCAGCAAUCCGUCUAGACAUGAAUUGUCUACUGACUAAAUCCCCUCUAGACUCAGAGGAGUGAGUCAUGUUGUGAGAGUUUUCCAAAAAUCAUAAUCUAGUACCAUUUAAUUUACUACCAGUAGAUACCAGUCUUAUUUGCAAAAUCAAAGUCCAUACCGGUCUUUUUAAGCGGCAUCGACUUAAUUCAUUUGUUGUUAGCAAGAGUUUAAGUACUCCAACUGUCUUGUAAGUUUCCACGUGUUUGUUAAGUGUAUAUUAUGCAACAUCUUGUAAUAAUGAAUACCAAGGGCCACCUACUUUCCUACCAAGAGCUUGCUAUUUUUGUUUCUUAAAAAGCCGAGUAUGUAUAUUCAUAAUUACGUGAUAAUAGGCGGAUGCAACCAUUUUAUUUGCAACCGGCAUUUUAAACGGCCUAAGUCGUUAGGUGGUGUUUGAUAAAACUAAUAAGUUCAAUAGCCAGAGUAAAUCUAAUUUAUGAUUUAAUUGUAAGAUCGAGCUAUCAUUCAUUCAUUUGUGAUUUACUGUCCAAGUAUUAAAAUUUUCUGCCAGCGAAAUCCUUGCCAGGCUAUGUGCUACUAUCUAAAGGGAAUUGCAAACCAUAGUAUAGAAGUUUUUGAAAAAUCACACUCAUACCAUUUAGUGAGACUGUGUGCUACUGUCUAAAGGGAUGUCGGUCUAAAAGUGUUAGGCCCCAUACCUUCUAAUUUUAUCACUGAUUGUGCUAGAAGUAAAUUUAAAAUAAAACAAGUAAUAUAAAAUAAAAAUUCUUUCUAGCAGCCUGCAACUCUGCAAGGCCAUACCUUGUACCAAGCAGCUUUGUACCACACCUAAACAUAAGUGUCAAUCACAAUCUCUCUGUCAUACCAUAAGUGUUGAUGAAGUCAGACUUAGUCUAUAUUUUAUUGAGGAAUAGUUCAUACUUCCCGUGUCGGUUGAAGUUAAUAAGAAGAUUUAUUGUUUGCAGGAGCUUCUCAUAAUACAAUUGUUGGGUAAUAGCUCCUGUCAUCGAAUUUAUUGCAUAAAGUGUUGUGAAAAAAGGAUAUUCUUACCAUAUAAUUCGCAACCGGCCUAUUUCUUGAUGGACCCGUAAAUAUGUUGAUUACCAAGGGCUUAGCUCACUCACCGUCAAAGAUAGUAUUAAGCACUCUAUUUUGUGAAUUAUACAAGGGUCGCAACUCCAAUCUGAAUACCAUGGUAUAUUGCUUCAAGUUGUGUUGGUAAAGGGUAGUAGUAGCAUACCUGUAUUAAAUAUUGUUGGUAGUAAUAAGAUUUAGAAUCUUAUACCCAUUUGCUGGUCAUGAUAUCAAGUUUUUUACAGAUUUAAAUAAAGCAUAGUGCAUUCAUAUGGUGGUUAAAGGUUAUUAAGAGUCUCAUUACAUAUACAAUCCCAUUUGAAAGCGGAAAGUGGCCAACUUCAGUUUGUAUGUAAUUCGUUUGAUAUGUAUGAUAUAGGUGCUUAAUCCAACCAUUGCCUCGCAUUUUCCGAGUUGAAGUCUAGUCAAUCCCAUGAUAACCUAUGAAAGACAUUUCAUCAUUUACGGACGUAAGCAGAAAAUUUCUGAAAAAGGGAUAAGCGGGCAACAAUUACAACACUUCAUCGUGCGCUAAGCAGGAAAACUCUGAAAAGAUAAGCUUGCAGCAAUUACGAUAAAAGUCAGGAAAGUCUCCCUAAAUCCUUAUUGUAUAUGCUUGAUGUUAAGUAUGGUUAUACGUGAUUAUAUGCAUGAGAAGGGAACUACUUCUUAAUUAUUCAUUACACUCACAUGAAGUAUGUGGUUCAGUGGUUACACUCCUAAGACACAAAGUCAGCCUAAAAAGAAAGAGAAAAGCACUAUGAUCUUAAGGUGAUAUGUUGUUCCAACUAUGUUAGCUAGUACCAAUCAUGAUGUAUGUUGCAACGAAUCAGGCUUAGAGGUGUCAAGUUUCAAUAAGGUUAAGCCUUUAGCGACUUGACUAAUCGGAAGUAAUCGUGUCCAAUUCUCUUGUAUGUUGUUAGUUGUAGCCAACAAAUACAGUCGUCGUGGAAUAAAACAUUUAAUAUGGACUCAUCUAACUGCCAAGCAUGUAAAGUUAGUCGUACCACCAAUAAAGUUCCACAAAUGGCUUAAAUAGUCUAUUUUCAAUUUAGUAAGGAGUCUUGGUAUUGUCCCUAAAUAGUCCGCAUUAUAAUUAGUGCUGCAAGAAAGUUUUUAUCAAAUUUGAGGAACUAGCAGGUAAAAUGUAACACAGUAAUGGCCAAAAGUUUUUUCUUAAAUUAGCAGUGAAAGAGUAAAGGGGUGGCAUUCCCUAAAUGGUAGAAGCUUGGACUGACUUCGAGUCAAAUAAUCACACACUCACUCAUAUGAGCGUAUGAGCGUAUCAUAUCCUAAAUUUGUCAUGUAGUAUUAGCACCUAAAAUUAAGCCUCGGUUUAAGGGUACUAAAGAAUAAAUAGAAUGCCGUAACAUUUCUCAAAUCUCGUUAUAACUUUAUGAAUAAAAUGCAUGUUGGAGCUUCAAGGUAGUAUAAUCAGUAGUCAUGAGACUCUAAAACUCGCAACUGUAUGUCUGUAUACACUACUCAAUGAAUGGUGCUUUUAAACUUGUUUAAAAUGUUAAAUAAAUGCCCAAUGACAUCCCAAUAAAAGCCAAGGAACUCCUUAGUGGCUAUAAAUUUAUUGGUUUGGAGUAAAUUAUCUACGCACUUAACCAUAUGAUCCGCAUAAAAAAAUUGUUAAAAUCAUGUUCGUGCUAAUACAACUUUCGUAUCAAGAGGGUUGACGUGUUAACUUCUCGCACAAUAUGAUGAUGCCAUGCUAGUAUGUCAUAAGAUCUGCAUGAUUAAAGUACCAUCCCUUGUCUAAAUGCAUGUAUUCCUUUUAAGUUUCACGAUCGGAAAUUAAUCUCUUACCGGUCAAAUUUCUUUACCGUCAUUUGAGGUGCAUAUAAUAGACAAAUAUUAUACUAAUAGCUAUGAGGAUGUUGUGCAAUCUCACAUAUACAUUUGAUUUGGUUAACUAUGAUUAUCACCUUAUAUUCUCUACAACAAGAUUGCAGUUGCUAAAUAGCCGGUAUGUUUGAUAUAAGUAAAAGGCCGACAUCGCAUAUCAAAGGUGAAAUAUGGCAACCAAUAAAAUGUAUGGAUGUGAUCAGUAGCUUUGGGGAAAAUAAAUGCCGUAAGGGCACUCCACUGUGAAGCGUAGCAGUCCAUAAGGAAUGGAUGUGAUCAGUAGCUUUGGGGAAAAUAAAUGCCGUUAAGGGCACUCCAUUGUGAAUCGUAGCAAUCCAACGAAAUGUAUGGAUGUGAUCAGUAGCUUUGGGGAAAAUAAAUGCCGUAGGGGCACUCCACUGUGAAGCGUAGCAGUCCAUAAUAAAACAUUGAUAAAAUACAAACGACAAGGCAUAUCAAUAGAAAAAUGGGCUAUUCGUCCUAAAAAAUCAAGGAGGUUAGUCGUCCUAAAUAUUAAAUAGGCUAGUCGUCCUAAAAAAUCAAGGGGGCUAGUCGUCCUAAAUAUUAAAUAGGUUAGUCGUCCUAAAAAAAAGGGGGGGGGGGGCUAGUCGUUCUAAAUAUUAAAUAGGCUAGUCGUCCUAAAAAAUCAAAGGGGCUAGUCGUCCUAAAAAAAAUCAAUGGGGCUAGUCGUCCUAAAAAAUCAAGGGGGCUAGUCGUCCUAAAUAUUAAAUAGGCUAGUCGUCCUAAAAAAUCAAGGGGGCUAGUCGUCCUAAAUAUUAAAUAGGCUAGUCGUCCUAAAAAAAUCAAAAGGGCUAGUCGUCCUAAAAAAAAUCAAUGGGGCUAGUCGUCCUAAAAAAUCAAGGGGGCUAGUCGUCCUAAAUAUUAAAUAGGCUAGUCUUCCUAAAAAAUCAAGGGGGCUAGUCGUCCUAAAUAUUAAAUAGGCUAGUCGUCCUAAAAAAUCAAGGUGGCUAGUCGUCCUAAAAAACCAAAGGGGCAAGCAAAAUAGAUUAUUAGUUUUAUCUGCAUAUCUUCGACUCAUGAGCAGAAUCAAGAUAUCCGCCAAUUCUGCGAACCUCUGCAGAUAAGGGGGCUAGUUGUACGGGGUGAUUACUUUUUCAGAGCAAGCACAACAGUCUAAGACGGUUGUACUUACUCUGAGGGGCCAAUUGUACGGGAUACUCCCGUAGGCCCAAUUCUAUACCAGAAUAUCAUAUUCUAGUGUUAUGGGCCCAAAGUGCAAUAAAGGCCAAGGCCCAAUCUAUGACCUAAUAAUCCAUCAAACCCCUAUAAAUACUCAUUUAUGGGGGAAGGUAAACUUAACUUCUCUACACUCUCUACUCCCUCCUCUCUGUACUCCAUCUCUUUAUGAUAUAUUACUAAUGUUGGGCGUCGGAGGCUCCGAUCCGGGGAACCUCCCUCGGGUUCGGGGUUUACUUUGCAGGAAAUCACCUCCACAUUCAAGAUACGAAGAUCCGACCACACCACCGAUUCCAAUACCGGAACACCUACUACCACCGUAAUUCCAUUUGGUUGUCAACAAAUACUCCCUCUGUUCCGGCAUAUUCGCACCACUUUUUUUAUAAAGCCAUCCCGAAUUAAUCACAUUGUUUCUAUAAAUGGUAAACCUUAUUAAUAUUAUAUUUACCCAUUGACCCACAUAUAUCUCUAUUUACUUUAAAAACCUUAAAAAAGUAAGUCAUUAUCAACUACGACACUACACCUUAAAAAGGUUUUAUGUUUCCAAUAUUUAUAUUAAAAAAUACCAAGAGUUAAUUACAUUGCAUUAUACACUCAUUUGAUAAAAAUGUCUAGAGAGAGAAAGAGAAAGAAAAAGAAACAUGAGAGGCCCAAGGUUUCUUAUGAGAGAAGGAAAACCCUAAACUGGUCCAGCCCCCUUCCCAAGUUCAUCGCAUUUUCAGAUCUAGGUUUUCCUCCUUGUCCCAUUUUCAGAAAGAGAUUCCCCUAAAAAUCUCUAGACUAAGCCUUAAUAGGGGUAAUUAUGGCUUCUGCAAUUGCGGAUUGGUGCCUCGUUGGUAUCAAAAUCUGAUUUUACUGUUCCGAUCUCUUUCUUGCCUUCAUCAACAAGGCACCGUUGAUCCAAGGGUGGAGAGAUCUGCUGAGUCAUCAGAUCUUGGGCUUUUCAACAGUAAUGAUGGUUUAGAUGGGUUAAUUAAAGUAUUUACUCCACUAAUACAAGUCCACCGCCCAGUUUGGACCUAUGGAAUGGCUUAUCCAAAUGCAAAAGUUGCAAGAUCUCCACUUUUUCGAAAAUCUCCUCAGGGAAGUCUCUCUCCAAGCUCUUCCUUGCCUUUUCGAUUCUUUUCUGUCAUUUACUGCUUGUUUUCGCGUUGUUUCAAUGCAUGCAUUUAUUUGAUUUGUGUUUUAUUUCAAGCUGGAUGAUGAUUACUUUUUGGUUGCAUUUUAAUUUUGUUAUUCUAGAUCCUUCUGUUUACAAGAAUUGUUGUAGGUGGUGUUGUAGUGUGACCUUUGAUCUCCCUAAGUCUCUUAGCCAAGUCUAUAAAUACUGUAUGUUUCUUUCCUGUGAGUACCACUUCUUCUCUUACAGAAGCCCUCUCAAAAUUAAUGUUGCUCUCAUCUCUUGCCUAGUUUGUUCUAAGUUCUUUGUCCUUGUGUUUACCCUCUUUAAUCUGUUUAGUCUUUGGGUUUUAAUGUCAAACAAUCCUGUUGAGUCUAGCUAUGCCUCACUUCUUAAGAAGAACCAUCCUGCAGUUUCCAAUGAACCUAAACUUGCCAGCUUACCUAGUAAUCCAGGUUCUACCAGCUUCUUCAGUCAUACCACCCAUAGCUCCUUUCUCCUGGGAGGUAGCAGUUCUGAUACUGAUCCCAAUUCCUCAUCUAAGGACAGUACACACAAUUAUUCACCACAGGUUCCUAGUUCGAAUAAUGCCACCAUCACCUUAGAUGCUCCUAAACUCGACCAUGAUCAAAUUAAGCUCAUGGAAGCCACCUGUCUCUUUGGGAAAGUGUGGGGUGAGUUUGUGCUUCAAGCUGCUGUCAUUGGUAGGAUGAAAAGAGACUGGACUUUUAUGAGGGGGGAGGUGCCUUUUAGGUGAAGGAAAUAAUUCCCUUGGUCCAAGUAUGCAUAUAAUGUUAAGUCUAAUAAAUGCGGUUCAGUAUUAAUUAACAAGUUAAUAAUUCAGUGAGAUCAAGUGAGCUGAAUGCCUAGCUAGAGGCCGCUUCAGUUCAAGUGGAAUUAAUUAUAUUAAUCCACAGCUUACUCUUGACUGAACCCGUAGGGUCACACAAAUAGUACGUAAACGGAUCAAGUAUUUAAUGGCAUUAAAUACUCCAUCUAUGGAUAUUCGGAAUCGACGGAUCUUGGUUCCAGUGGGAGCUGAGAUCGUCAAAGGCAAGAAAUGAAUACUCCGGAAACGAUGAUAUUGCCGGAAAUGGAAAUAUGGAUCGUAUCGGAAAUAUAAAUAUUAUCCAAGUCGUAGAUGUUGCCGGAAACGGAAACAUUGUACGUAUCGGAAAUGGAAAUAUUGCCGGAAUCGGAAAUAUUGCCGGAAACGGAAAUAUUGUCAGAAUCGAAAAUAUUAUCAGAAUCGGAAAAUAAUUCCGGAAACGGAAAUAUUAAAUAUUUGUUCGAGACGGAAAUUUAUUCCGGAAUCGGAAAUAUUAAAUAUUGUUCGUAUCGGAAAUGAAUUCCGGAAUCGGGAAAUUAAUCGGAAGUGCAUCGUACGAAUUAGCAUCGGACGAGCUUGCUAGACGAAGGCCCAGCAUGAAGCCAGGACCGCGUCCAGCAAACCAGCGCGCCACACGAACAGCUAAGGCCACGCCAGGCCCAGCGCAAGGCCAGGCCCAGCAGGCUGUGGCUGCGCGCACAGCUGCGAGCAGUGGGCUGCGAGCAGUGCUAUUGCGCUCGCGUGGGCUUAUAGCUCACGUGGGCCGAGCGGCCGUGUGGGCUGUGUGCAGGCCAUGCCUGCACGCUUGCGGGUCAUGCUCGUGUAGUGUUUGUGUUCACAUACGAAACCUAAAACGUAUGGGAUUUGUUUAAUAAUUAAAUUCCUAAUCCUAAAAGAUAAAUUAAUUAUAUAAUUCUACUAGGAUUCUAAUUUAAUUAAUUCGUAUCCUAGUAGGAUUCGAUUACUUAUUCCAUGGCCUAUAAAUAUGAGUUAAGGGCUCAUAAUUUAUAUAGAUUUUCAAGUAUUCAAACAAUAAAAAGCUAAGAUUUUUAAGUAGAAAAAUCAGCCAUAUUCUUGCCCUAUUAGCCGAAAAUAUAUAGUACCUUAAGGGCGAUUCUAGUUGUUCAAUCUUAAGGCGGAUCCGGACUUGCUGUGGACUAUCUACGGAGGGACGACACUUGGAGUCCUAAAGCCUUGUUCUUGUUCGGUUCGGGCGCAACUAGGGAGGGCACGCUACAAAGUGUAUGCAUCUGAAUUAUGCUAAAUGAUUAUGUGUAAAUAAUAUGUUUCCUGGCUUUAUGGUUUUUCCGCAUGAUUUAUGUUUAUUCAUAUGUAUCAUAAACUAACAGUGGUAUCACGAGCCUCUUAUUAUUUUCAUAAUCUAAAUUGCAUGAACAUGGUUAAAUUUUACAAAUUUGCAAAGAAUUAAAGGGGUGAUUAAUUUUCGUAAUUAAUUGCAAAUUGCGUUUAUUUAAUUAUAUGUAUGCAGUUUUUCGGCAGUUUCUUCGUUACUCAUCCAAAUCGAGUAAUUUUUGUGUCAAUUUCGCAUGUAAAAGGCAUUCUAAAAUUUUGACAAAAACAAUAUUUUUCGGCCGAAUCCAGAAUUCCCAAAUUCGAAGCCUAACUAUGACUUUUCGGAGGUUUUAGUUUUCGAACGCAAAAGUUUGUAAAUUUAAGAUGUUAAAUUAAGUAUUUGCAAUUCUUGUUGAUAAAUCUUGAGUUUUUGAUUGACCUACUGUAUAUGUUUAACAAUUAUGAAUGCCUAGACUUGUUAAUUAUACAACCUAAUUUGUAAUUAUGAUUAAUUUGUUGAAAUUCGAAUAAUUUAGAAUUGAUUUGUUUUUCAUAAUUAAUUAAUAAUUUAAUUAGGUAUCUAUGAUUAAAACCCACCAUAAAAAUUGAUAAUUUAUGUUAAAUUUUUAAUUUUUAUGACCUAGAUUUGAAUCCUUGUUAAUCAGAAAUUAAUUGAUUAAUAAAUUUUCGAUUUUUCGCCCUAAAAUUAUGAAAUUAUUAUGUUUUAUUAAUUUGUCAUUAAUUUUAAAUUAAAAAUUUUAAAUUUUUAUGAAAACGCCCAUAAAAGUUGCACGCACAAAGCAAUGGAAGCUACGUGUUACCCUUAAGGGGUGUUGUAUAGUGCGGGCACGAGACGACGAGCAAGGGAGCUCGUCGCCCGUGCGGUACGAAUGCAGCGAGCAACGAACGUGGCAUGCACAAGGCAAUGCGCCUAAGGGGUGUGUGCUACGCGUGUGGGCGAUGGGGCAACGGGCGAGCAAGUGUAGCGAGCAAGGCAAGCACGCGUGGGCAGCGAUGGAUGCUGCGCCACACAUGCGUUGCCUCGCUCAGCAGCAUGCCAAGGCAUAGGCCAAGGCAGCGACGAGCUGUCCAGCAAGCCAUGCCCAGCAGCGCGCCAAGGCGAUGGGCGAGUGGGCUACGCGCAAGCGUGGCUCGCUGGGCCUGACGCAUUGGUGCGUUGUUGCUUGGGCUUCGCGGUACGAUCAAUCGAGUGACAAGGGGUUUGUUGCUUGUUGGACUUGACGAGGUAUGGGCGCAAGCCCAUGGCCUUGUCUUGACCCGAUUGGUUCGUUUUAAUUUUAAUUUGAAUUUUUCAGUUCGGAAAUAAUUUAAUUAACGUUAAAAUUAAUAAUUUAAAUUGUUUUCUCGGGAUUUAAUUUUGAUUAUUAUAAUUAUUAUAAAUUUUAAUUUAUACUAAUUAUUUUACUAAAAUUAAACCUUGAAUUAAUUUAAAUUCGUUUAAUUCAACUGAAAUCAAUUAAAUAAAUGGAUUCGAUUAUAAUUUUAUAUGAGCUUUAAAUUUUAAUUAAACUUGUAUGUUUCCGGUUAGACUAGAAAUACAAUUUUAUUUUUAAAAUUAGUAAAGUAUAUAAAGUUAUUGGUUUAAGUGGGAGCAAUUUUAGUCAUAAAAUCUUGAUUAGGUCUGCAAAUCCUUUAAGGUUAAACAACUUGAUUAGAAUUAAUAAAGAUUGAAUAAUUGGUAGAUUAUUGGUGCCCUUAAUUAAUUGCUGCAAAUAUUUAUGUGAUGCAUACAAUGUGUUUUAACUAACCAAUUAUGUGGGUCAUUCAUGAUAAUGAAUGGAUGAAUGGUAUAUAUUGUAUAUGUACUGUUUUGCAGGUUAUGAAGUGACUUGUAUGGCCCAAAUAGGAUGGAAAAUAUGGUCUGCGUACCAUUAAUUUGAAUGUAAUUGGUCUAAAGCACCAAAUUUGUUUUUCAAUUCAAAUAUGGUCUGCGUACCAUCAAAUAGUUGUAAUUAGUUUAAUUAUAAUUUAUCCUAUUUGAAGAAAAUGGCGCCUCCUACGGUGAAAUUCAAGACGGAGUUUCCAAUCCAUUUUCAAGACGGACUUUGAAGUUGAAGCUUCAAGAUUAAGUCGGGCCAUACUAGAUCACAAUUAUCUUAUGCAUGCUUUAAGUUAUUUAUUGCUUUUAAAUAUGUCUUAAAUAUGCAUGAGAUCAAAGCUUGAUUAUGUUGCAUGAUUAAGGAUUUUAGUUCACUUAAAAUCUAACCAACAUAGUAAGAGCCUUAUGUUGCAUGUAAACCCAGAAUUUCCAAAUUCGAAGCCUAACUAUGACUUUUCGGAGGUUUUAGUUUUUCGAACGCAAAAGUUUGUAAAUUUAAGAUGUUAGAUUAAAUAUUUGCGAUUCUUGUUGAUAAAUCUUGAAUUUUUGAAUGACCUACAGUAUAUGUUUAACAAGUUUGAAUGCCUAGCCUUGUUAAUUAUACAACCUAAUUUGUAAUUAUGAUUAAUUUGUUGAAAUUCGAAUAAUUUAGAAUUAAUUUGAUUUUCAUAAUUAAUUAAUAAUUUAAUUAGGAAUCCAUGAUUAAAAUCCACCAUAAAAAUUGUUAAUUUAUGUUAAAUUUUUAAUUUUUAUGACCUAGAUUUGAAUCCAUGUUAAUCGGAAAUUAAUUGAUUAAUAAAUUUUCGAUUUUUCGCCCUAAAAUUAUGAAAUUAAUAUAUUUUAUUAAUUUGUCAUUAAUUUUGAAUUAAAAAUUUUUAAUUUUUAAUUUUUUUUGAAAACGCUCAUUAAUGUUGCACGCACAAAGCAAUGGAAGCUACGUGUUACCCUUAAGGGGUGUUGUAUAGUGCGGGCACGCGACGACGAGCAAGGGAGCUCGUCGCCCGUGCGGUACGAAUGCAGCGAGCAACAUAGUGCAUGGCGCGCGCACGAGGCAAGGGAGCAUAUGCGCGUGUGCUGUGUGCUGUGGCGAUGGGCGAAGGGCGAUGGCAUGGCACGUGCAGAGGCGCGCGCGCGCGAGGGCGAGAGCUGGUCGCCCAACGAUCGCUGCUCCGCGCACCAACAUGCGUGGCCUCGAGGGCUUGCUUGCGCGCGAGCGCGCGAGCACUCCCAUCGUGGCUGCUGCGAUGCAUGCGGGCGAGCAGGCUGCGCGCAAGCGUGGCUUGACUUGCUGCGUUUGCGCGUGGCUGCUGCUGCGAUGAGCCAUGGGCCAGCGAUAAGUCGUGCACUCGACAGGGCUUGGGCGCAAGCCCAAGUGCUCGUCAUGUUACGAUUAUCAAGUUUUAAAUUUUAAUUUGAGAUUUUCAGUUCAUAUAAUUUUAAUUAAUUUUAAAAUUAAUAAUUUAAAUUGUUUUCUUGGAUUUUAAUUUUGAAUAUUAUAAUUAUUAUAAAUUUUAAUUUAUUAUAAUUAUUUUACUAAAAUUAAAAACCUUGAAUUAAUUUAAAUUCGACUGAAAAUAAAUUAAAUAAGUGGAUUCAAUUAUAAAUUUAUAUGAGCUUUAAAUUUUAAUUAAAUUUGUAUGUUUCCGGUUAGACUAGAAAUACAUUUUUAUGUUUAAAAUUAGUAAAGCAUAUGAAUUUAUUGGUUUAAGUGGGAGCGCUUUUAGUCAUAAACUCUUGAUUAGGUCUACAAAUCCUUAAGGUUAAAACAACUUGAUUAGAAUUAAUAAGGACUGAAUAAUUGGUAGAUUAUUGGUGCCCUUGAUUAAUUCCUGCAAAUGUUUACGUGAUGCAUAAUGUGUUUUAACUAACCAGCUAUGUGGGCCAUUCAUGAUAAUGAAUGGGUGAAUGGUAUAUAUUGUAUAUGUACUGUUUUGCAGGUUAUGAAGUGACUAGUAUGGCCCAAAUAGGAUAGAAAAUAUGGUCUGCGUACCAUUAAUUUGAAUAUAAUUGGUCUAAAGUACCAAAGUUGUUUUUCAAAUUCAAAUAUGGUCUGCGUACCAUCAAAUAGUUGUAAUUAGUUUUAAUUAUAGCUUAUCCUAUUUGAAGAAAAUGGUGCCUCCCACGGAGAUUUUCAAGACGGACUUUGAAGUCAAAGCUUCAAGAUGAAGUCGGGCCAUACUAGAUCACAUUUAUCUUAUGCAUGCUUUAAGUUAUUUAUUGCUUUUAAAUAUGUCUUAAAUAUGCAUGAGAUUGUGGCUUGACUAUGUUGCAUGAUUAAGGAUUUUAGUUCACUUAAAAUCUAACCAACAUAGUAAGAGCCUUAAGUACCAAACUUAAAAAUUGAGUUAAAAGGUGUCAUGCCAAAAUAAACACUUACUUGGAUAUCCUUUACAUCAAUCUAGUAAUAGUUUUCGCUCAGCGAGGUGUUAUUUAUUGGUCCUAAAUGGGUAAGGUACACAAAUAAUUAUGAGUACAAGUUAGUUUUGGUGAAACUCAACGAUAUAAGUAAUGAGUCCUUUUAUGUCGUGGCAAAAUCGAUAGGUUUACCUAAUAAGUUCUUAGACGUACCUAUCAACCAAGAGUAGUUUCUAGACUAUUAGCAAAAGGCUUUUGCUUACCUAAAAUGUUUUAGAAUUGAGUCAAAAUACAUAAUGUGCUUAAUUCUUCAAUGGUUUUAGGGUCUUGGAAUCAUUUUAUUCACACCUGUCGGAACAUUAAAUUCGAAAAAAAUGCUAAUAACUUGUUUAAAUUGCAUGAAUGCUUUAAUUUUCAAGUUAUUACUCAUGAUAAAUGUUUAGACUUUGCAUGCUUUAAUGUAUGUUUUAAUUAUUGUUUAUAAUUAAAUAUCUUGCACUGCAGUAAACCCUUUUAGAAAGGUAACAGUAAAUUUCCUCGAUUGGUAAUGAAUCCAAGAACGAUUCACGGAAAUGAGAGAAAAUGAGCAAUUUAAAUGUACGUUUCUUUUAGUGACUUUUAUGGUUGUUUUCGAGUAUCAAAAUCGAAUGGCAAACCAAUUGGUGCUUGUGAAUUCAAAAUACACUGUAGUUUUGAGAUCAUAAAGCAUUGAGUUUAAACUCUCAGCUUUACCAAUGGUUAACAACCUAAUAUCUUUGUCCAUUUAAUUCUCGAAUGAGUCUAGCCCUUAGACAUUCGAAUAGAUCGAUGCUUAGAGAACUUUAGAAGCUUCUGGUAAGAUCAUCUAGUUGAAACAAAACAUUCAACAUAAAUUAAAAUGGUAAGAACCUUUUUGGAGUGACAUUGGACAUGUCUAACAAAGUAUAAAAGUCAACACUAAAGAAUUCAAUUCUUAAGACUAUAAGAAAGGGUACAAGAAAUAGGAAAACAAAGGAACAAAUGAAAGGAAUUUACGAUUCCUUUUCUACCUAUAAGUUUAUGUUUAAAGAGAAGUGACAUAGCAAUAAAACUUCAUUGGUAUCAUAUACCGCUUGAGGUUCUUACUUCGGUAAUAACUCAAAUAAUGGAAGCUAGGCUACACUAAUGUCCUACAAGUGGGAAAUGAAGCAUGGCAAUGCUACAUUAGUUGUAGGGUCAUCUAGUUUGUUUUAAGUCCUUUCAAAGGCUGGAACUUAAUGGCUAUUUUGUUCCAUAAUCAGCAUGCCUAAAUUUCUGUUUUCAAACACAGAAAGACUCACAUUCAAGAAAAACAAAAGCAAUGUUUGUUUGUUUAUUUGAGUGAAAUGGUCAAUUACGGGUUGAGUCAAUAUGCUUGAUUAAAACAAACAACUCUUUAACAAUAAAAACUUUACUAGGUUCAAAUCAACCCCUUGAUUUGAGUUCCACUAAUCUUUGGCACUGUUGCUUAGACCAUAUCAACAAGUUAACAUUCAAAAGCUCUAUUUUGAUGGACUUUUGAAAGUUGAUUGAUUUCUAGUUCUAUUUAAGACAACUAGUCUUACUUGUUGAAAGUAACAAAAGAUAUGAACUAUUGUUAGAACGCCUAGACAAUAGAGUUCAAAGCUAAAGAAAGGUUUUUAUGACUUUAUUAUUUCACACAUAUUUGAGUGAAUAUAGGUUUAUUUACUCAAUGUGAUAUAAGUUUGAAUCUGUUUGGCUAGUUCAAAGAUUCAGAAGUAUAAAUCCCACUUGGUAAGGAAUCAUAAAGAUCUAGGAUAGAUCAUGUUAAUGAUUGCUUGAGACAAAAAAUGAUCAUCAAUGAUUGUGUGUUGUAAUUUCACAAUCUAGCUCCAUGAGAUAUGGCAUAUCUAAGUGGAAUGAUCGAAGUCAAUUAGUACUUGAUUCGAUCAAUGAUGAAUCAUAAAGACUUUUCCUAUAAUUUCUAAAACAAAAUGCUCAACUACCACCAAACUAAACCAAAUUCGUCAAAGCUAUUGAAAAGUAAUUUCAGGAUAUCUUUUCAAUUAUAUAUAUCUAAAGAGUUGCUAAACUCAGUGGGAGCUUAGUGUUUGUUAUUCAACAAACUAAGGCCCAAGUAUAGAUAUAUGUUUCAUUGUGAUGUAUUCAAAUGAGACACAAGGGUAUUGUUUCUACCACGAAUUUUUGAGAACAUAAUGUUUGUUUGCUCGAAAUAAUGUCCUUUUGGAGAUUCGUUUCCAAAAUGACAAGUGGGAGAAAAUAGACCUCGAAAGUCUUCGAGGCGAACAACAAACAUAAACGGACAUUCCGGAGGCUUUUCGAAGUGCUUCAGAAAAUCCGAACUUAUUCUUUAAGGACUUUAGAAGUGGCUUUGAAGAAUAGACAUCUCUUAGAGGACUUACAAGUGCUUCAAGGAGAACAGAAUAUUCAAAGGACUCUCAAAGUGCCUGUUUAUAAUCUAUUGUUUGAUGUUCUAUACCCAAGUAGGCAUAGUGUUCAAGUCACUGAAACUAUGAGAUUCUUCUAUUAGAUAGUGAUGAAACAUAGAGUUCAGGUCAAUGAAACUAUGAGAUUCUUCUAUUAGAUAGUAAAGAAACCUACAACUUGCAAUCGAACUAUUAUCACGUAGAUUAAUGAGUUUGUGACUUGUAAGAAAGCUAUGACGAAACCCAGAUUCCCUAAAAUGGUUAGAGGCUAUAUAUAGACUUAAUGUUUAAUUGGUUAAAGGCCAUAAAAACAUACUCAAUGUUUUGAUGACAAAAUUGAAAAUUUUGUUGAUUUGCAAGAAUGGUUUACACCAAUUGGUUGCAAAUUGGUUUUAAGGAUAAAAACCAUCAAACACAAAGCUAGAUUAGUUGCUAAAGGUUACAAGCAAAUUCACGGCGUUGAUUGUGUUGAAACCUCAUGCAUAAUCAUAAUGCUUAAGUCUAUAAUUCAAGUAAUGAUUGCAUAUUGGUACAUAUGGCAAUUGGAUGACAAAACGUAUUCCUCAAUCAAAUGUUGGAAGAAACUAUGUACAUGGUAUGUCAUAGGAUUUGUGGAUCCAAAUAAAUAAAGCUUGAAAAGGAAAGCUAGCUUAUGAAAUCUAAGUACAGAUUUAAGCAAGAAACUGGGAAUCGGAAUUGUAUUUUAGUGAAGCUAAUAAGUAUUUUAGUUUCAUAAAAUGUACAUGAUUCUUAUAGAUAUAUAAGAAGUUUAGUGGGAGUACAGAAAACUUAAUUGGUCCUAUGUGCAUCAUACACAUAUCUCUCUAUUGUGAAAUAACAUUCAAAUGCUAAAAGGUUAGGUUUGAAAUUAUUCAUCAAUGACGGACCAAGGCGAAACUUAGUACAUACUGGGUAUUAAGAUCUAUUUUCAAAGAUCUUAUAAUAUUGUUUUAGAUUAGUAAUGGCAUUUACUAAAUCAAACACGAAAGACUCCAUUGGAGAUAUUCGACCCAUGUGAAUAAAUCUAAGUAAUGAAUGUUUGAACUAUGUAUAAGCAUUUACUAAGUUAAACAUCAAAGGAUCCAAGUGAGAUUCUUAAACCUAUAUUAUAUGUCAAAGAAUUUAGCUGGAUUCAGUAUCUGCUGAAAUUGAAUGAGCUAAAGUUACAUGAAUAGAAUUCAAUUGAGAAUAAUUCUGCAAAAGAAUUUAUCAUGUAUGAUAUAAUAUGAGGAUCUCCAAAAAUGUAUCGUAUGGCUUUAGGCAUAACGAACAUAUACCAAUCUCUAUUGAUCUAAGUGAAGAUCAACUAGAUUGAGAUAAAAAAAAACUUAUGGUACUUGAAAAUGUACAUAGGAAUAGUUCUUGAUUCAAGGAAAUAAAGAUAUGCUAAAUAUUGAUGCUACACGCAUAAACACUGGCAAAGGAUCAAGCAAGAUUCCUUUGGAGUUAACCAUUGAAAAGGACGAGCUAAAAUAGCAUCGUGUUUGGAAAUGGCAACAUGGAUUGGAGACCAUGAGUUGUUGCGUGGGAAAUUAAAUAUUAAUUUCUAUGUUCUAAGAUAUAGUUGGAAAGUCUUCCGCAUAUCUAUGAACUGCUUGGAUAAGUAAAUCCAAACAAAGCUUCACUAGCAACCUAAACAGUUGAAGUAAAAGUACUUAUUGCCUAAGAAGCAAUAAAACAGAGUUGUUUAUAUUAAUGAGUUCUUCAUUGAACUUGGGAAGAUCACAUGUCAAUUGACUUAAUGGUUCUUCAUUGCAAAAUGCGUAGAACCACUAAUGUAGUAAGAAAGACUAGAUCACAUAAUAAACAAACUCAAAAGAUCUUAUCAUUCUAUCUCGUAAAACAUUCGAUGAAAAGGAUAUUAAUAUUGGCAAAGCAUGAUAACUAAACCUAUGCAACAAGUGAGAAACAACACUCACAUUGUGGCACUGGAAAUCAAGCAUAGCUUUGAAUUCCACGAACUGUUUUAAAGAUGGGUUUGAGGCCCAUGGUUGUAAAACAUUGGGGUUGAACAUUUAUCAUAUAUGAAAUGUAUUUUCAUAUUCCAUUUAAUCUUGGUUUAGUAUUAAAUGAUGAGUACCUUCAAUUUGACGAUAUAUUCAAGAUAGACUGUCAGGACCAGUCCUGUGACUAAGAAAUGUCUAUCAAGUGAACUUGAAUGUCAAAAUUUGAAAAUGGUCCCUGGUCGGAGUUUUCUAUAAAGAUGGACGCAAAGAAAACGUUAGACGACUAGUAUGCAAGAUGACUAGUAGUUCUGUUUCUUGAGCUAUGUGGACAUGGCAAUGUCGUAAUCAUUUGCAUAGAUACUUACUUUGGGAAGACUAGUAUCGGACAGACCUAUGAAACUUUACUGUAAGAGAUGAAAAUCUGUCAUAAGUAAAUUUCAUUAAAAUUAUUAGACACUAAAUCCUCAAUACCUGAGUGAUUUGAGAUUACUUGUUUGAGAACUGGUUGCUUUGACGUUGACCAACCGUCGCACCGUAAAAGGAGGCUAUAAAGGCAACGCUCAGGUAAUCACCUAUCAAACAAAGUCUAAUCUCAAGAUCACAAGAUUGGGAUUGUCCUCCCAUAAAUCGGGAUGAGAUGCUUAAAAGUUGUACAAGGCCACUCGGAGAGCUAGAAACUGUAAAAUGCCUGGCCGUGCUCGGAUGAAUCAUAGGCUAUGAUUAUCUGUUUAUUUGAUCAGUUGAACUCUGAAACCGAGAAACACCUCUGGACAUAAUAAGGAUGACAACUCUUACCUUAUGUUCAAGAGCAAGCAUCGAGCGACAAAGGAAUUAGGAAAUGCACACUUGUUCCCAAGGACAAGUGGGAGACUGAAGGAAAUAAUGCCCUUGGUCCAAGUAUGCAUAUAAUAUUAAGUCUAAUUAAUGCGGUUCAGUAUUAAUUAACAAGUUAAUAAUUCAGUGAGAUCAAGUGAGCUGAAUGCCUAGCUAGAGGCCGCUUCAGUUCAAGUGGAAUUAAUUAUAUUAAUCCACAGCUUACUCUUGACUGAACCCGUAGGGUCACACAAAUAGUACGUAAACAGAUCAAGUAUUUAAUGGCAUUAAAUACUCCAUCUAUGGAUAUUCGGAAUAGACGGAUCUUGGUUCCAGUGGGAUUUGAGAUCGUCAAAGGCAAGAAAUGAAUACUCCGGAAACGAUGAUAUUGCCGAAAACGGAAAUAUGGAUCGUAUCGGAAAUAUAAAUAUUAUCCAAGUCGUAGAUGUUGCCGGAAACGGAAACAUGGUACGUAUCGGAAAAUAUUAUCGGAAAUGGAAAUAUUGCCGGAAUCGGAAAUGUUGCCGGAAACGGAAAUAUUGUCAGAAUCGGAAAUAUUAUCGGAAUCGGAAAAUAAUUCCGGAAACGGAAAUAUUAAAUAUUUGUUCGAAACGGAAAUUAAUUCCGGAAUCGGAAAUAUUAAAUAUUGUUCGUAUCAGAAAUGAAUUCCGGAACCGGGAAUUUAAUCGGAAGCGCAUCGUACGAAUUAACAUCGGAUGAGGCUUGCUAGACGAAGGCCCAGCACGAAGCCAGGCCCACGCCCAGCAAGCCGAGCGCCCAACACGAAGGCCACAAGCCUCGCCAGGCCAAGCGCAAGGCCAGGCCCGGCAAGGCUGCUGGCGCGCGCGCUGAGCGUGCUCGUGGGCUGCGAGGCAGCACUCUUGCGUGUGGGCCGCAAGGCCUGCGCGGUGCGUGCUUCCCUCGUGGUCGUGCGACACUCGUGUUCGUAACGAAUCCUAAUCCUAUCGGAAUUCGUGCAUUGAUUAAAUCCUAAUCCUAAAAGAUUAAAUUUAUUAUUUAGAGUUCUAAUAGGAUUCUAAUAAAUAAAUCCAUAUCCUAGUAGGAUUAUAAUUCCUUUCCAUAAACUCUAUAAAUAGGUGCCUAGGGACACAUAUUUACAUCGACAAUUGAAGUAUUCUAAAGGUAAGAUUUUGAAGCAAAAAUCAGCCAAACACUUGCAACCUAUUAGCCGAAAAUCCUAGUAACCUUAAGGGCGAUUCUAGUUGGUCAAGCUUAAGGCGGAUCCGGACGUGCUGUGGACUAUCUACGGAGGGACGACACUUGGAGUCCUAAAGACUUGUUCUUGUUCGGUUCGGGCGCAGCUAGGGAGGGCAUGCUACAAAGUGAUGUGCUUAUGGUGCGUGGGGGAAAGUUCAAGAAAUCUGGAAAGAAGAGGAAUGCUAAGAAAGGUGGCAACAAGGCCAGCCCAACUAAGCAAACUGGCGCCAAGUCUGAAAAGAGGAAGGUCAGUCAACCCACUUCUGAAUCUGAAUGCUUCUACUGCAAGAAGAAGGGGCAUUGGAAGAGAGAUUUCUUGAAGCUAAAGGAAGAUCAAAAGAACGGAACAGUCGUUCCAUCUUCAGGGACUAAGAAGAAGUAGAAAGUUAAGCAAGGGUGAAGUCGACCUACGAGUGGGAAAUGGAGCAAGGAUUGCUGCAUUAGCUGUAGGAACUUAUUAUUUGUCGUUGCCCUCUGGGCUAGUUUUGGAACUGGAAGAGUGUUUCCAUGUUCCAAGGCUUACUAAAAACAUCAUUUCUGUUUCUUGAUUAGA
This is a long non-coding RNA of Spinacia oleracea (spinach), 20540 nucleotides long. RefSeq lists it as uncharacterized. The record is from RefSeq and is a predicted model, not a curated record. The transcript has 3 exons. Lineage: Eukaryota; Viridiplantae; Streptophyta; Magnoliopsida; Caryophyllales; Amaranthaceae.